This 468-nucleotide ribosomal RNA is filed under the name uncultured bacterium. RNAcentral describes it as "partial 16S ribosomal RNA". It matches the Rfam family "Bacterial small subunit ribosomal RNA", at positions 28 to 507 of the family's 1533-position model. The record is from RNAcentral.
GACGAACGCUGGCGGCGUGCUUAACACAUGCAAGUCGAACGGAAAGGCCCUGCUUUUUUGGGCUGCUCGAGUGGCGAACGGGUGAGUAACACGUGAGUAACCUGCCCUUGACUCUGGGAUAACUUUAGGAAACUGGGGCGAAUACCGGAUACGAGCUCCUGCUGCAUGGUGGUGGUUGGAAAGUUUCGGCGGUUGGGGAUGGACUCUCGGCUUAUCAGCUUGGUGGUCGAGUAGUGGCUUACCAAGGCUUUGACGGGUAGCCGGCCUGAGAGGGUGACCGGCGACAUUGGGACUGAGAUAGGGCCCAGUCUCGUACGGGAGGCAGCAGUGGGGAAUAUUGCGCAGUGGGGGGAAGCCAGAGGAGGCGACGCCGCGUGCGGGAUGACGGGUUUCGGGUUGUAAACCGCUUUCGGCUGUGACGAAGCGUGAGUGACGGUAAUGAGUAAAGAAGCACCGGCUAACUACGUG